GAUGAACGCUGGCGGCGUGCUUAACACAUGCAAGUCGAACGGAAAGGCCCAAGCUUGCUUGGGUACUCGAGUGGCGAACGGGUGAGUAACACGUGGGUGAUCUGCCCUGCACUUCGGGAUAAGCCUGGGAAACUGGGUCUAAUACCGGAUAGGACGAUGGUUUGGAUGCCAUUGUGGAAAGUUUUUUCGGUGUGGGAUGAGCUCGCGGCCUAUCAGCUUGUUGGUGGGGUAAUGGCCUACCAAGGCGUCGACGGGUAGCCGGCCUGUGAGGGUGUACGGCCACAUUGGGACUGAGAUACGGGCCAGACUCCUACGGGAGGCAGCAGUGGGGAAUAUUGCACAAUGGGCGCAAGCCUGAUGCAGCGACGCCGCGUGGGGGAUGACGGCCUUCGGGUUGUAAACUCCUUUCGCUAGGGACGAAGCGUUUUUGUGACGGUACCUGGAGAAGAAGCACCGGCUAACUACGUG
RNAcentral lists this ribosomal RNA (468 nucleotides) under uncultured bacterium. Its description in RNAcentral is "partial 16S ribosomal RNA". It matches the Rfam family "Bacterial small subunit ribosomal RNA", at positions 28 to 507 of the family's 1533-position model. The record is from RNAcentral.